RNAcentral lists this ribosomal RNA (117 nucleotides) under Erinaceus europaeus (western European hedgehog). The record is from RNAcentral. Lineage: Eukaryota; Metazoa; Chordata; Mammalia; Eulipotyphla; Erinaceidae.
GUCUACAGCUAUACCAUCCCAACCACACCCGAUCUCGUCUCAUCUCAGAAGCUAAGCAAGGUUGUCGUUUAAGUUCGGAGGCUCCAGCAGGCUGGGCUAGCUUCGCAGCGGUAGACA